RNAcentral lists this long non-coding RNA (4940 nucleotides) under Lupinus angustifolius (narrow-leaved blue lupine). RNAcentral describes it as "long non-coding RNA (LANG_LNC001092)". The record is from RNAcentral. Lineage: Eukaryota; Viridiplantae; Streptophyta; Magnoliopsida; Fabales; Fabaceae.
UGAUAUUUCCUCACUUUUUAAGUUGUGUGACUGCCCAUCUCCCAACAAAUGUCGCUCACGUGAAUCGAACUCUUAACAUUUUAGUCAUCUUAUAUGAGAAAUGGUUUGAGAUAACGUAUCUCUAUUCGAAAGUAAUAAGAUCAUAUCAAAUAACUUGAUUUGGGUUGAUUUUAUUUAAUUUAAUUAAUAGGGACCUCAUUUACUUUAUUGUGCUAUAUAAGACUCACCAACUCUAUGUGCAUAGUGCACCAAAUACUCCCAACUUCUUCACUCUCUUCUAAACCUUUGCCAAGUCCUAUGUAACUAAUGCUUUUGGUUGUGAACCACUUUCUCAAUUUGUGAGGUUCCAUUUUUCUUGUGGGAAAGAUGCUCUAAGUUAUUAAUUGGAUGUCAUUUGGGCUUUUGUUUCAUGUGAAACAUAUCUUUAGAUGGACAUGUUUGGUCCUAAGUUCUUGUUAUAACCUCUACCUUGCAAGUAAGGGUGAGUAUGGGUCAGAUUGUGAUGGAUUAAGACUUGUCUUUACCCGGCCCUAAAUACUGGUUGAGUCAUUUUUUUGAACCUGGAUCUGACCCUAUAUGAAGCUAACCCGACCCUAAAUAUUGGUUGAGUCAUUUUUUUGAACCCGGAUCUGGUCCUAUAUCUGAAGCUAACCCGGCCCUAAAUAGCGAUCGGGUCAGUCUUUAAACCUGACCCGAUCCUAGACCCAAUUAAAUAUAAUGCAUAUUUAUUUUAGACAAAAACUUCUCGAUAUUAUUUAUUAUUAUGAAUAUUUAGUUUGACAUAUAAAAUGAUAUUUGUAUAUAUAUAUAUUAUUAAUCAUGUAGAUAUUAUGGAAAAAUUAAAGAAUAAAUGAUAUUUUCCACCAAAAGACUAUCAUUACUCCCUACACAUUUGAGUAGAAACACAUACAAAUAUGAUGAGUGAGUGACCGUGGGACAGGACGGGUCGAGUCAUGUUUGGUCCCUACCCGACCUAAAUAUUGAUUGGAUCUAUUUUUUGAACCAGAACCCAACCCUAGACUUGACCCUAUUUGAACUCAAUCAUGAUCAUAUCGUGCCGGAUGAGCGGGUAGGGUCGGGUCCUGCUCACCCAUACUUACAAGCUUGGUUAUCACUCUGCAUGCUUUAUUCUGGUAAAUCAUGAAUUGGAAAUUAAAAUUUUUUAAAGCUAAAUUGGAUUUUAAUAUAUUUUUCUUCAUCUAUGAAUAUUUAUUCAUUUUUUUAUUUAAAAAAGAGGUUAGCUACAUUUCUAAAUAUUGAUUUUUAGGAUAGCAUUUAUCAUGUCUUCCUUUGUCCUUUUCAUUUAAUUUAUAGAUAACCCUUCAAGCCAAACAUGUUGCUGAUUAUUAUAUCAACAGCACGUUGAAAUUAUUGAGGGCUUUAAAUGAAUGCCAUAAUAGAGAAUGGUAUUGUCCCUCCAAUGUCAAAUAUUAUCGAGUUGAUGUCAAUAAUGUCUGUUAUAUCUUACAUCGAAGUUAACCAGCGCUCUUGUACUUUUGUGGAUCUAUUGGUAAUUAAUAUCAUUUACCAUGAUAAUACUAUGAGUAUACCUUAAGAUAUUAUACUUCACAUCUUAAAUGAGAUUAUCUUCUCCGAUGUUGGAUAAAUUCAAGUUUAAAAUCUUGUAUUUAAUAUAAUGAAGAAUUUAUAAGUAAAAAACACUUAUAAAAUUUUGGAAGUUACACACACCUUACAUCAAUGUCAAUAAAUCACCAUGUCACACUUUCUGUCAAAUCGAAUAUACAUGUCUCACAUUGCAUAUAUUGUGUGGUAUGUGUUACACUUUACAUCCAAAUCAAUGCUCCAACUACAUUAUGCAUUUAUGUUAUUUAACACUCGUGUUACAUACCAUACAUCGAAGCCCAAUGUGGCUCGUGUUACACCUAUAUCUCUAUCAAAUCUUGGGUACGAUACUUUCAGAACAUGACUAUACUUCUCUCACAUAAUCUGACGUUGUUUCACUUGAAUAUAAGUCAUUUAGACAAUUAUAUUUAUUAAAUAAUAUAAGAAUAUUAAAUUAAUAAUACGUUUUUGCAUGUGUAUUGUACUAGAACUAACUCUUCAUCUAAAAUAAACAAUCAUUUUAGGAUGCAUAUCUAAAGAUUAUUUUGUGCUAACAUUUUUUCAUCCACAAGAAGAUUAAAUUAUCAAUAUUUAUGACAGUGUAAAGAUUUAUACACAGUAAAUAUAUCUUUUACAAUUCAUUUAUAUUAUUUUUAUUUAAAAAUCAAUGAUGAUUAAAAACGAAUAAUAGAUAUACAAUAAAAGUGUAAAAUCUCUUACACUUUCAAUACAUACAUUAUAUUCUCAUUAUCAAAUCACUCUUCACACGAUGGCAACCUCAUUAUUAAUAUAUGUGUUGUGUCGGCAAGGAACAUUAAAUAUAUAUACACAUCACAUUUCCACAUAAACUUACUAUUUAGAGAAGUAUCCAUAUGAAUUUAAGAAAGAUUAAAUAUCCAUUUUAAUCCAUCAUAUUUUUAAUCUUACCUGUUUAGUUUUUCACAAAUUGAAAAUUUCAAAUGGUCCUUAAAUUUUUUAAAUAUGGAUUAAAUUAGUUAUUUUUAGGCCACAUUAGUCUCUAUUAAAUGUUAUAAAACUUGUUAAAAAAACUAAUUUGACUCACAUUUAAAAUAAAAUUUAUAUGGAUAAUUUUGAUCUUUUUCAAUUAUUGAAGGAGCAAACUAGUAAAAUAUGAAAAUCUGAAAUGAUUAUUUCCUUUAGAAUUAAAAAGUGGUCUUCAACUUGUAGAAAUAUCUCAUUCCAGAUCUGAAACCCUUCUUUCUCUCUUUAUUUCUCCUCCAGAGACACAAAUAAAUAUCACCAACAACAUUUAUACUAUAGGAUAAAAUCAUUUUCAAUUCUGUAGAGUGUAAUAUUCAAACAGAUAUGAAUUUGAUAAUUUAUAAAUUUAUUUUAUCUAAAAAAAUAAGAGUAAAUAUCAAUUUUAGUCUCUCAUAUUUUUUGACGUUACCAGUUUAGUCAAUAAAAAAGAAAAGACCUAGAAUGGUCCUCAAAAAUUUCAAAUGUAGGUCAAAUUAGUUAUUUUUAGCAUGUUUUACAACACAUGGUAGAGACUAAUUUGACCCAAAAAUGACUAAUUUGCCUCACAUUUGAAAUUUUUGAGACCAUUUUAAAUCUUUUCUUGUUUGAAGGACUAAAUCUAAAUUGGUAAGGUCAAAAAAUAUAAAAGACUAAAAUGAAUAUUUACUAAAAACUAAUUUAAAAUUCUGACUGCUACAUUUUUUAUGAGACACAUAUCAAUAUUUAUCUAGGACUGAACUCUCAUACUACAAAUUAAAUGCACAUGAGGAUAUUUUUUAUAAAGCAAAUUUAUAUCUUUAUCCUAUGAAUAAGGAACUCUUCUACUACCCGUUUUGAUAAGUGUUACUCUUAAAACUUAAAUAUUUAACAUAAUAUAUAGUAUUUGACAAUAUAAUAAGAUUUUAUAUCACUAAAUCAACAUCGAAGGAAAACGCAGUGUUGUAACAAAUGGGUGGGUCAGCAUAUGUGAAAGAAAACGUGGGCAUGCAAAUGUGGACAAACACAAAAGGUGCAACACGACACCAUGUUUUGUCAAAAAAAGAACACAUGAAAGCACCAAAGGGUAUUCCUGUGCCACCAUUACACUCAACUUUAGUGGUCCUUUUAUCUUUCUAGACCGUUCAUUCUCUGCUGAAAAAAACUUAUUAUCCUAAACUAUCUUCAAAUUUUAUCUCGAGUUAACGAUAAUAAAACAAAAAAUAGUGAGUAUUUAAAAUUUUAAAUUAAUAUACAUGUUUUUAUUGCUGCAAGAUAGUUGUGAGAUAUGGUUUUUGUGUCCUACCAAUGAUAUUUCCUCACUUUUUAAGUUGUGUGACUGCCCAUCUCCCAACAAAUGUCGCUCACGUGAAUCGAACUCUUAACAUUUUAGUCAUCUUAUAUGAGAAAUGGUUUGAGAUAACGUAUCUCUAUUCGAAAGUAAUAAGAUCAUAUCAAAUAACUUGAUUUGGGUUGAUUUUAUUUAAUUUAAUUAAUAGGGACCUCAUUUACUUUAUUGUGCUAUAUAAGACUCACCAACUCUAUGUGCAUAGUGCACCAAAUACUCCCAACUUCUUCACUCUCUUCUAAACCUUUGCCAAGUCCUAAUCUUAGUUAUGGCUCGUUAUGCUCCUUUUGGUUCCAUCAUUUUCUUCUUUCUUUUGCUUCUUGUGGCCAAUGGUGAGAGUUUCUUAAUGUUUAAUAGCCCAUCAUUUUCUUUUGUUUCUUAAACAACUCAUAAUUCUAAAGUUUGGUUUUUGUUAAAUAAGAUGUUGACAUAGUUAUAUGGUUCACCCCAUAUUCGUUCUAGUUUGGGAUAUCUAGUUUUUAUGUGAUUUGUUACUUUUUUAUAUUAUUAUUAAAACAUUUAUUUUAUAUAGAGUUGGUAUGUGGAACUAUAAGCUUAAUAUGUAAUACCAACAUUUUAAAUUGUGGUAACAAAUGCGGCCAUUGUGGUGCACGUUGUGAAUUUUUGUAUGAUUAAAAAAAUAUUUUUAUCUUCAAUGUUAGUUUAUGUUGUUCGAAAUGGCUCAAAUUUGGACUAAUGUGACUCAAAUGCGUUAUGAUGUGGUUUUUUAAUUCGAUGUGACCUAAUAUAGUCUAACAUAGUCCAAAUGAGAUCCAAGGUAGCUCAGACGUGGUUCGAUGUGAUUGUGCUAUGAUCCGAUGUAGCUGUACUAUUUUAAUGCGGUUGUGGUGAUUAUUGCAAACACAAUAUUGUCACAUCAUGUGAUAUAAUCUACAAUUUAAAACAAUAUGUAAUAUGUAGACUAAAUGAGAAAACCAUAUAGCCAUCAAUAAUAUUUAUAUCUCUUUAUCUAGCCCAUACCAUUCACUUGGUUUAUUUUUUAUCAUGUGUUUGUGUUGUAUACUUACUCAUUUGUGUUAUGGUUUAUUUUGAGAAUUUAUCGAGCAGAAAU